GGAACUUGCGGUGUAGGAGUGAAAUCCGUUGAUAUCGCAAGGAACACCAAAGGCGAAGGCAUUGCACUGGGCUGGUACUGACCCUGAGAGACGAAAGCGUGGGGAGCAAAACGGAUUAGAUACCCGUGUAGUCCACGCCGUAAACGAUGGAUACUAGAUGUUCGGGGAUUCGACCCCCUGGGUGUCACAGCUAACGCGUUAAGUAUCCCGCCUGGGAAGUACGGCCGCAAGGCUAAAACUCAAAGGAAUAGACGGGGAUCCGCACAAGCGGUGGAGCGUCUGGUUUAAUUUGAUAGUAAGCAAUGGACCUCACCAAGGUUUGACAUCCUAUGACAACCCUGGAAACAGGGCUUCCUUCGGGCAUAGUGACAGGUGCUGCAUGGUCGUCGUCAGUUCGUGCCGUGAGGUGUUCCGCUAAGUCGGGAAACGAACGAAACCCUCGUCGCAUGUUACAAAUUUCAUGCGAGACUGCCCGGGUCAACCGGGAGGAAGGCGGGGAUGACGUCAGAUCAGCAUGGCCCUUAUACCUUGGGCUACACAGGCGCUACAAUGGCCGGUACAAAGGGUUGCAAAACCGCGAGGUGAAGCUAAUCCCAUAAAGCCGGUCCAAGUUCGGAUUGGAGGCUGCAACUCGCCUCCAUGAAGUUGGAAUCGCUAGUAAUCGUGGAUCAGCCAUACCACGGUGAAUACGUUCCCGGAUCUUGUACUCACCGCCCGUCACACCAAGAGAGUUGGUAGCUCACUGAAGCGUCGCAUUAGCGGCACCACGGAGAGAUCAGCGAUAGGGGUG
Molecule: ribosomal RNA, 790 nt
Filed under: uncultured organism
Description: bacterial SSU rRNA
Rfam family: Bacterial small subunit ribosomal RNA
Source: RNAcentral